GUUUGAACCGCAUGGUUCAAACAUAAAAGGUGGCUUCGGCUACCACUUACAGAUGGACCCCCGGCGCAUUAGCUAGUUGGUGAGGUAAUGGCUCACCAAGGCAACGAUGCGUAGCCGACCUGAGAGGGUGAUCGGCCACACUGGGACUGAGACACGGCCCAGACUCCUACGGGAGGCAGCGGUAGGGAAUCUUCCGCAAUGGACGAAAGUCUGACGGAGCAACGCCGCGUGAGUGAUGAAGGUUUUCGGAUCGUAAAGCUCUGUUGUUAGGGAAGAACAAGUACCGUUCGAAUAGGGCGGUACCUU
Molecule: ribosomal RNA, 306 nt
Filed under: Bacillus sp. Co2-14
Lineage: Bacteria; Bacillati; Bacillota; Bacilli; Caryophanales; Bacillaceae
Description: bacterial SSU rRNA
Rfam family: Bacterial small subunit ribosomal RNA
Source: RNAcentral